Molecule: ribosomal RNA, 520 nt
Filed under: uncultured Glomus
Lineage: Eukaryota; Fungi; Glomeromycota; Glomeromycetes; Glomerales; Glomeraceae
Description: SSU rRNA
Rfam family: Eukaryotic small subunit ribosomal RNA
Source: RNAcentral
AGCAGCCGCAGUAAUUCCAGCUCCAAUAGCGUAUAUUAAAGUUGUUGCAGUUAAAAAGCUCGUAGUUGAAUUUCGGGAUCGAUACGUCGGUCGUGCCUUCGGUACGCACUGGCGUUUAUCGAUUUCUCCCUUCUGACGAACCAUGAUGUCAUUAAUUUGGUGUUAUGGGGAAUCAGGACUGUUACUUUGAAAAAAUUAGAGUGUUUAAAGCAGGCAUUAGCUUGAAUACAUUAGCAUGGAAUAAUGAAAUAGGACGUUCGAACCUAUUUUGUUGGUUUCUAGGAUCAACGUAAUGAUUAAUAGGGAUAGUUGGGGGCAUUAGUAUUCAAUUGUCAGAGGUGAAAUUCUUGGAUUUAUUGAAGACUAACUACUGCGAAAGCAUUUGUCCAAGGAUGUUUUCAUUAAUUCAAGAACGAAAGUUAGGGGAAUCGAAGACGAUCAGAUACCGUCGUAGUCUUAACCAUAAACUAUGCCGACUAGGGAUCGGAUGAUGUUAAUUUUUUAAUUGACUCAUUCGGCG